RNAcentral lists this ribosomal RNA (394 nucleotides) under uncultured bacterium. RNAcentral's name for it is "bacterial SSU rRNA". It matches the Rfam family "Bacterial small subunit ribosomal RNA", at positions 29 to 424 of the family's 1533-position model. The record is from RNAcentral.
AUUAAACGCUGGCGGCAUGCCUUACACAUGCAAGUCGAACGGCAGCACGGGGGCAACCCUGGUGGCGAGUGGCGAACGGGUGAGUAAAGCAUCGGAACGUGCCCUGGAGUGGGGGAUAACGUAGCGAAAGUUACGCUAAUACCGCAUAUUCUGUGAGCAGGAAAGCAGGGGAUCGCAAGACCUUGUGCUUUGGGAGCGGCCGAUGUCGGAUUAGCUAGUUGGUGGGGUAAAGGCCUACCAAGGCGACGAUCCGUAGCGGGUCUGAGAGGAUGAUCCGCCACACUGGGACUGAGACACGGCCCAGACUCCUACGGGAGGCAGCAGUGGGGAAUUUUGGACAAUGGGCGCAAGCCUGAUCCAGCCAUGCCGCGUGAGUGAAGAAGGCCUUCGGGUU